Molecule: long non-coding RNA, 1255 nt
Filed under: Equus caballus (horse)
Lineage: Eukaryota; Metazoa; Chordata; Mammalia; Perissodactyla; Equidae
Description: lncRNA (ENSECAG00000057847.1)
Source: RNAcentral
GUUUUCUCAGUGUCUUCCCCAGUUGCAGCAAUAGCCUGGGCAAAGGUCCUGCUCAGGUUGUAGGCCUUAAAAGCUGUUAUGAAUCCUUGAUUCUUUGGUUAGAUCAAAAAGGUGGUGUUUGGAGGGAGAAACACUGCCUCGAUAUUGGGAUGAAGAUCAUAAACAAAAGGAGGAUGUCUGGGAGCAUUAUGAACAGCAAGCAAAAUAUUGAAAGUUGAAUCCACUCAUACAAGUUCUGCUUUACAAAGAUUUUCUGAUAAGGAGAAGUAGUCUACAUAGUUCCUGUGUGCAUGGUAUUUGCAGAAAGAAAUCAUGAGAAGGAUGGCAUUAAGUAAAAGAUUCAUGGAACAAGCCUAAGUUUUUGAGAUUAGACAUUUUGUUGUAUGACCUAUUUAUUAAAGAAAAAACUAAUUCUGAAGCACAAUUUGUCUCGGAAGUGCAAAACCACAAGUCAAAUGGAGUCAGCUGUGUCAAGGACCAAAUGGACAUGGUCAAUGCAGGUGCGUAAAGGAAACUUUAAUCUAACCUUACUGGAAUUUACAGCUCCUCCAAGAAAUCAGCAGAGGACACCAGCCAAUCUCCAAACGCCAUGUCUUCAUGCCAUCUCUGGACUUCCGUUUUUCCCCCGGCUCAGCUGUCUUGAUCCAAAUAGAGAAGAAGACCAUUAGGCAACCAAUCAGCUGAAAAAGCCAACUGACUUCCACACUUCCCCCGAGAAUCCCCUAGUCUGUGAGCAACUUGGUGCUCAUUGCUCCCACAGCCCUGAGUUUCCUGGCUUGCUGGUCAAAAGCCUUGCAAUAAACUCAUCUUUCUUCUUUGUUUCAUUCAGUCUGCAGAGUUUGGUUUUUUUGACAGAAGGAAACAAAAAAGAAGAAGAAAAAGAAGAGAUCCAGAAGUCUAAGUUUAUUUCUAAUUUGAAGAAGUAAUAAGAACUGUAAUAUUCUAAUGGAUAUUUGGGUAAGUUAUGCACUAGAAAAUAAUUUUUUUUUAAAGCUUAACUCUCAGAAAAUAAUACAUAUUCUUCUACAUGUAAAAACACUUUUCAGUUGAGAAAGGCUGCGGAAGCCGAAAAGUUAACACUCUAUUAGACUGCAGUGGUGAGGUUACAAAAGAAUUCUACGUAAGGAUUUCUUAAGUUAUGAGAAAGUGUGUGUGUUCCGAGGGAUGGAUAGAAAUGUGUUUGCAGAAUUUCAAGAGAAUAGUGAGAGCUAGGUGCUUUCCAACUUUUUAAACUACUCUUAGAACUCAAGAAGAG